UACGAAGGGUGCAAACGUUUGCUCGGAAUUAUUGGGCGUAAAGCGCACGUAGGCGGCUUUGUAAGUCAGAGGUGAAAGCCUGGAGCUCAACUCCAGAACUGCCUUUGAGACUGCAUCGCUCGAAUCCAGGAGAGGUGAGUGGAAUUCCGAGUGUAGAGGUGAAAAUUCGUAGAUAUUCGGAAGAACACCAGUGGCGAAGGCGGCUCACUGGACUGGUAUUGACGCUGAGGUGCGAAAGCGUGGGGAGCAAACAGG
Molecule: ribosomal RNA, 255 nt
Filed under: uncultured bacterium
Lineage: Bacteria
Description: partial 16S ribosomal RNA
Rfam family: Bacterial small subunit ribosomal RNA
Source: RNAcentral